This 621-nucleotide ribosomal RNA is filed under the name Terfezia boudieri. RNAcentral's name for it is "eukaryotic LSU rRNA". The stretch from base 219 to 372 matches the Rfam family "5.8S ribosomal RNA". Lineage: Eukaryota; Fungi; Ascomycota; Pezizomycetes; Pezizales; Pezizaceae. The record is from RNAcentral.
GAAGGAUCAUGGUACUGAAGAUCUAUUUUAUAGUUUUUUAUAUCCCAUUGUUUACUUACCCUGUUGCUUUCACUGGACAGAUUUCACCUUGUGUGAGGUCCUUUGGCUUGUGUGAAAUACCACUUGCCAAAGAGUUAGCCAGUGGUAAGACCUAUUUAUCAAAACUUGAGUUUCAAUAAACACAACUGUCUGAAUAUUUUUUUUCUUUAAUGAAAUAAAACUUUCAACAACGGAUCUCUAGGCUCUUGCAUCGAUGAAGAACGCAGUGAAAUGCGAUAAGUAAUGUGAAUUGCAGAAUCUCGUGAAUCAUUGAAUCUUUGAACGCACAUUGCGCCCUAUGGUAUUCCAUUGGGCAUGCCUGUCUGAGCGUCAGCUCCCCCUCCACUCAAGAAUUAUUUUAUAUGAUACUUGGAUUACUUUGUAGAUGUAACUGUAUAUUAAGUUGCCCUCCAGAAAUUCAUUGUGACAGUGGGGUUUGUACUUGGACCAGACGUAAUAGUAAAAUGGGUCGUUUGCCCUUUGUGUAUAAUUGAAUUGUACUUGUCUUAACCCCCACCCCAUUUUUAUAUUGGGGGUGACCACAUCAAAAUGGAGUUCCGCCCUGAGGGCUUCCGCAUGUCA